This 450-nucleotide ribosomal RNA is filed under the name uncultured Alphaproteobacteria bacterium. Its description in RNAcentral is "bacterial SSU rRNA". It matches the Rfam family "Bacterial small subunit ribosomal RNA", at positions 412 to 879 of the family's 1533-position model. Lineage: Bacteria; Pseudomonadati; Pseudomonadota; Alphaproteobacteria. The record is from RNAcentral.
AGGCCUUAGGGUUGUAAAGCGCUUUCAGCGGGGACGAUGAUGACGGUACCCGCAGAAGAAGCCCCGGCUAACUCCGUGCCAGCAGCCGCGGUAAUACGGAGGGGGCAAGCGUUGUUCGGAAUUACUGGGCGUAAAGGGCGCGUAGGCGGACUGUCAAGUCAGAGGUGAAAGCCCCGGGCUCAACCUGGGAACUGCCUUUGAAACUGAUAGACUAGAGUCCGGAAGAGGAUAGCGGAAUUCCCAGUGUAGAGGUGAAAAUCGUAGAUAUUGGGAAGAACACCAGUGGCGAAGGCGGCUAUCUGGUCCGGUACUGACGCUGAGGCGCGAAAGCGUGGGGAGCAAACAGGAUUAGAUACCCUGGUAGUCCACGCCGUAAACGAUGUGUGCUAGCCGUUGGGGGACCUAGUUCCUCGGUGGCGCCGCUAACGCUUUAAGCACACCGCCUGGGGA